AGCUCCUACGGGGGGCAGCAGUAGGGAAUCUUCCACAAUGGACGAAAGUCUGAUGGAGCAACGCCGCGUGAGUGAAGAAGGGUUUCGGCUCGUAAAGCUCUGUUGGUAGUGAAGAAAGAUAGAGGUAGUAACUGGCCUUUAUUUGACGGUAAUUACUUAGAAAGUCACGGCUAACUACGUGCCAGCAGCCGCGGUAAUACGGAGGAUGCGAGCGUUAUCCGGAUUUAUUGGGCGUAAAGCGAGUGCAGGCGG
RNAcentral lists this ribosomal RNA (252 nucleotides) under uncultured bacterium. RNAcentral describes it as "partial 16S ribosomal RNA". It matches the Rfam family "Bacterial small subunit ribosomal RNA", at positions 334 to 578 of the family's 1533-position model. The record is from RNAcentral.